AGGGGGAUAACCACCCGAAAGGGUGGCUAAUACCGCAUAAAUUCUGAGGAAGAAAGCUGGGGACCUAGGAAUAGGCCUAGCGCUUUUUGAGCGGCCGAUGUCGGAUUAGCUAGUUGGUGAGGUAAAGGCUCACCAAGGCGAAGAUCUGUAGCGGGUCUGAGAGGAUGAUCCGCCACACUGGGACUGAGACACGGCCCAG
RNAcentral lists this ribosomal RNA (199 nucleotides) under uncultured Rhodocyclales bacterium. RNAcentral's name for it is "partial 16S ribosomal RNA". It matches the Rfam family "Bacterial small subunit ribosomal RNA", at positions 137 to 334 of the family's 1533-position model. The record is from RNAcentral. Lineage: Bacteria; Pseudomonadati; Pseudomonadota; Betaproteobacteria; Rhodocyclales.